CCUACGGGAGGCAGCAGUGGGGGAUAUUGCACAAUGGGGGGAACCCUGAUGCAGCGACGCCGCGUGGGUGAAGAAGCGCCUCGGCGCGUAAAGCCCUGUCAGCAGGGAAGAAAAUGACGGUACCUGAAGAAGAAGCCCCGGCUAACUACGUGCCAGCAGCCGCGGUAAUACGUAGGGGGCAAGCGUUAUCCGGAAUUACUGGGCGUAAAGGGUGCGUAGGUGGUUUCUUAAGUCAGAGGUGAAAGGCUACGGCUCAACCGUAGUAAGCCUUUGAAACUGGGAAACUUGAGUGCAGGAGAGGAGAGUGGAAUUCCUAGUGUAGCGGUGAAAUGCGUAGAUAUUAGGAGGAACACCAGUUGCGAAGGCGGCUCUCUGGACUGUAACUGACACUGAGGCACGAAAGCGUGGGGAGCAAACAGGAUUAGAUACCCUAGUAGUC
This 439-nucleotide ribosomal RNA is filed under the name uncultured bacterium. RNAcentral describes it as "partial 16S ribosomal RNA". It matches the Rfam family "Bacterial small subunit ribosomal RNA", at positions 338 to 795 of the family's 1533-position model. The record is from RNAcentral.